GACGAACGCUGGCGGCGUGCUUAACACAUGCAAGUCGAGCGGUAAGGCCCUUCGGGGUACACGAGCGGCGAACGAGUGAGUAACACGUGAGUAAUCUGCCCAUCACUUCGGGAUAACUCCGGGAAACCGGUGCUAAUACCCAAUAUGACCACUUCAGGCAUCUGAUGGUGGUGGAAAGUUCCGGCGGUGAUGGAUGAGCUCGCGGCCUAUCAGCUUGUUGGUGGGGUAGUGGCCUACCAAGGCUUCGACGGGUAGCCGGCCUGAGAGGGUGACCGGCCACACUGGGACUGAGACACGGCCCAGACUCCUACGGGAGGCAGCAGUGGGGAAUAUUGGACAAUGGGCGAAAGCCUGAUCCAGCAACGCCGCGUGAGGGAUGACGGCCUUCGGGUUGUAAACCUCUUUCAGCAGGGACGAAGCGCAAGUGACGGUACCUGCAGAAGAAGCACCGGCCAACUACGUG
Molecule: ribosomal RNA, 463 nt
Filed under: uncultured bacterium
Lineage: Bacteria
Description: partial 16S ribosomal RNA
Rfam family: Bacterial small subunit ribosomal RNA
Source: RNAcentral